UUAAUGCACAAUGAACAUUAUCAAAUAUUAUUAAUGUUGUAAAAUAUAUUGUUCAUUGUUAGUUCAUAUUAGCUAAGGCAUUACCAAAUGUUAAGGAAUAAACUCUUAUAGUAAAGUGUUACUAAAUUUUCUUUUACCAUUUCCUUCACAAUGUCUAUUUAUUUCUAUGGCUAACAGAUUUUGUAACAUUUGUCUUUUUUACAGUCUUACCAUUGCUUGUAAGCUGGAUUUGGUAAGAUGGAUCAUCUUUAAAGGCACCAGGCAAGUACAUGAUGUACAGUUACAAGUCAUGUAUUUUUUCGACUGCAAUAUUAAAUGCUUUCACGUCACAUGCAAAAUUACACAGGAAUGUGGCUGACUUUUUAUUUGUAGUUUACAUGAGUGUCCUUGCACUUUAUCAGGAGUUAAGGCAGAUGUGGAGGCACAACGGGUGAUACCAGACACACACCAAGCACAUUAUGUUCGGACAUUCAAUCAUGACAGGAUCCAGGUGGAUGCUGUCCAUUGAGAAAAGAGUUUGUUCAGCGGUUUCUGGAUAGAAUUAAUUCCAAAGAUGGGAAAAAGUGCACAUCCAGACAAGGAGCAAGCAAAAAGACAAGGAACUUGGUGCAGAGAAAAGCUGUGGCCAUUAACCCCCAUGUGAACAGCUUCAUGCAGUCCCUGAUUGAGUUCGAAUGGACGACUUCAAAGUAAAGGCCACUGUGGUCUGUCUGCCACAGUUUAAUGCAUUUAUUUUUAGUGUUAAAUGAAAUUCAAGUAGAAUAUUUAAAACUAUGGGCCAGUGUUGUUUUUACCACAGUGAAAUGUUACCUUUUAGUCGAUGAUGGACUUUAAACUGAAAACUUCAAACUAUGGAACAGUGUUCUAUUUGCCAGAGUUAAAUAUGUUACAGCAGGGGUCUCCAAACUUGUUUAUACUUGUUGAUUUUAUUUUAUGUUACUUGAUUAUAUGUUUAUUAUUGUUUAAAAUCUUGUUUUAAAUAUGUUUGUUUCAAUUAAAUGUUUUUUUAAAUAAAAUUUUGAUACAAA
This is a long non-coding RNA of Paramisgurnus dabryanus, 1028 nucleotides long. RefSeq lists it as uncharacterized. The record is from RefSeq and is a predicted model, not a curated record. Lineage: Eukaryota; Metazoa; Chordata; Actinopteri; Cypriniformes; Cobitidae.